UGGGCGGUAGCAUAACGGUAUUGCAGUCCGCUGUUAACGGACAGAUUGUAGGUUCGAGUCCUACCCGCCCAGCCA
RNAcentral lists this transfer RNA (75 nucleotides) under Candidatus Dojkabacteria bacterium. Its description in RNAcentral is "tRNA-Asn". It matches the Rfam family "tRNA". From Rfam's summary of the family: Transfer RNA (tRNA) molecules are approximately 80 nucleotides in length. The record is from RNAcentral.